ACGGGAGGCAGCAGUGGGGAAUAUUGGACAAUGGGGGAAACCCUGAUCCUGCGACGUCGCGUGAGUGAAGAAGUAUUUCGGUAUGUAAAGCUCUAUCAGCAAGGAAGAAAAUGACGGUACUUGACUAAGAAGCCCCGGCUAACUACGUGCCAGCAGCCGUGGUAAUACGUAGGGGGCAAGCGUUAUCCGGAUUUACUGGGUGUAAAGGGAGUGUAGUUGGUUUGGCAAGCCAGAUGUGAAAGCCCGGGGCUCAACCCCGCGGACUGCAUUUGGAACUGUUAAACUUGAGUGCAGGAGAGGAAAGUGGAAUUCCUAGUGGAGCGGUGAAAUGCGUAGAUAUUAGGAGGAACACCAGUGGCGAAGGAGGCUUUCUGGACUGUAACUGACACUGAGGCUCGAAAGCGUGGGGAGCAAACAGGAUUAGGUACCCUGGUA
This 435-nucleotide ribosomal RNA is filed under the name uncultured Clostridium sp. RNAcentral describes it as "partial 16S ribosomal RNA". It matches the Rfam family "Bacterial small subunit ribosomal RNA", at positions 341 to 792 of the family's 1533-position model. Lineage: Bacteria; Bacillati; Bacillota; Clostridia; Eubacteriales; Clostridiaceae. The record is from RNAcentral.